CUGGCGGCGUGCCUAACACAUGCAAGUCGAACGAGAAAGUGGAGCAAUCCAUGAGUAAAGUGGCGACCGGGUGAGUAACACGUGACUAACCUACCUUCAAGUGGGGGAUAACCUCGGGAAACCGGGGCUAAUACCGCAUAACAUCUUUGGGGCGGAAGAACCGAAGAUCAGAGGAGCAAUUCGCUGGAAGAGGGGGUCGCGGCUGAUUAGCUAGUUGGCGGGGUAAUGGCCCACCAAGGCAGAGAUCGGUAGCCGGCCUGAGAGGGCGCACGGCCACACUGGAACUGAAACACGGUCCAGACUCCUACGGGAGGCAGCAGUGGGGAAUUUUGCGCAAUGGGGGAAACCCUGACGCAGCAACGCCGCGUGGAGGAUGAAGUCCCUUGGGACGUAAACUCCUUUCGACCGGGACGAUAAUGACGGUACCGGUGGAAGAAGCCCCGGCUAACUUCGUGCCAGCAGCCGCGGUAAUACGAGGGGGGCAAGCGUUGUUCGGAAUUAUUGGGCGUAAAGGGCGCGUAGGCGGUGCGGUAAGUCACCUGUGAAAUCUCUGGGCUCAACUCAGAGUCUGCAGGCGAAACUGCCGUGCUGGAGUAUGGGAGAGGUGCGUGGAAUUCCCGGUGUAGCGGUGUAAUGCGUAGAUAUCGGGAGGAACACCUGUGGCGAAAGCGGCGCACUGGACCAUAACUGACGCUGAGGCGCGAAAGCUAGGGGAGCAAA
This 720-nucleotide ribosomal RNA is filed under the name uncultured soil bacterium. RNAcentral's name for it is "bacterial SSU rRNA". It matches the Rfam family "Bacterial small subunit ribosomal RNA", at positions 36 to 772 of the family's 1533-position model. The record is from RNAcentral.